UUUCUAUGCAGACGAUCUGACUACGUUUCCUUGUAGAGCUGUCGGUUAACCGCGACACGCCCAACGUUGUUGGGUACCUGUAUAUAAGGCGACACCGACAGGUGGACAACACCGUUACGGGGCUGGCGACUUUGACCACUUGCUUGGUCCGGCCAGCCUUGUUAUCAGAAACCAGCUUGCCACGAUCUGAUGAGUGUUUCUUGUUUAGCAGCAUGACGGGAGAAAAUCAAAGAUGAUAGCGGCUCUGCUAUUUCAAUACCGGCGAGACUCGGAUACGACUCACGUCAAGGACUCAAGACAGCGUCAGCUGCACCCAACACCGACUUCGUCACCCACGACAAUGAACUACGACUGCGACAUGUAUAAGCAAGGGCCCGUCUACAACCACGACAGCCAGGGCAAAGUCAUCUCAGCAAUAAGAAGAUUGAUUCACUGAUCACAGUUCAAAGGCUACAGGUCACAAGUCACGGUUGAAGACUUACCAGCCUGGGUGACUUCAUGUUUCGGAAGAUAAAGGACAAUGAAUAAUGCAUCAUUUGUAGCGGAUAAACGAUUUAGUAAACUGCCUUUAAGGCUAAGUUUCA
Molecule: long non-coding RNA, 584 nt
Organism: Haliotis rubra (blacklip abalone)
Lineage: Eukaryota; Metazoa; Mollusca; Gastropoda; Lepetellida; Haliotidae
Exons: 2
Source: RefSeq, a predicted model, not a curated record